This 491-nucleotide ribosomal RNA is filed under the name uncultured bacterium. RNAcentral's name for it is "partial 16S ribosomal RNA". It matches the Rfam family "Bacterial small subunit ribosomal RNA", at positions 29 to 506 of the family's 1533-position model. The record is from RNAcentral.
AGUGAACGCUGGCGGUAGGCCUAACACAUGCAAGUCGAACGGCAGCACAGUAAGAGCUUGCUCUUACGGGUGGCGAGUGGCGGACGGGUGAGGAAUACAUCGGAAUCUACUUUUUCGUGGGGGAUAACGUAGGGAAACUUACGCUAAUACCGCAUACGACCUACGGGUGAAAGCAGGGGAUCUUCGGACCUUGCGCGAUUGAAUGAGCAGAUGUCGGAUUAGCUAGUUGGCGGGGUAAAGGCCCACCAAGGCGACGAUCCGUAGCUGGUCUGAGAGGAUGAUCAGCCACACUGGAACUGAGACACGGUCCAGGCUCCUACGGGAGGCAGCAGUGGGGAAUAUUGGACAAUGGGCGCAAGCCUGAUCCAGCCAUACCGCGUGGGUGAAGAAGGCCUGCGGGUUGUAAAGCCCUUUUGUUGGGAAAGAAAAGCAGCAGGUUAAUACCCCGCUGUUCUGACGGUACCCAAAGAAUAAGCACCGGCUAACUUCGU